This 467-nucleotide ribosomal RNA is filed under the name uncultured bacterium. RNAcentral describes it as "partial 16S ribosomal RNA". It matches the Rfam family "Bacterial small subunit ribosomal RNA", at positions 28 to 506 of the family's 1533-position model. The record is from RNAcentral.
GACGAACGCUGGCGGCGUGCUUAACACAUGCAAGUCGAACGGAAAGGCCCUGCUUUUGUGGGGUGCUCGAGUGGCGAACGGGUGAGUAACACGUGAGUAACCUGCCCUUGACUUUGGGAUAACUUCAGGAAACUGGGGCUAAUACCGGAUAGGAGCUCCUGCUGCAUGGUGGGGGUUGGAAAGUUUCGGCGGUUGGGGAUGGACUCGCGGCUUAUCAGCUUGUUGGUGGGGUAGUGGCUUACCAAGGCUUUGACGGGUAGCCGGCCUGAGAGGGUGACCGGCCACAUUGGGACUGAGAUACGGCCCAGACUCCUACGGGAGGCAGCAGUGGGGAAUAUUGCACAAUGGGCGGAAGCCUGAUGCAGCAACGCCGCGUGCGGGAUGUCGGCCUUCGGGUUGUAAACCGCUUUCGCCUGUGACGAAGCGUGAGUGACGGUAAUGGGUAAAGAAGCACCGGCUAACUACGU